UAUCAGUAACCGUUUUAUCAAGACCAGGAUUGUGGUGGAUUCCAGUAUCCUGGGAAUGCUGGACCCAAGGUGGGAAUACACUCUGGAUGGGGCACCAGUCCACUGCAGCUAGUGAAAGUUGUACAACUUAUCUUUGCACAAAAGCAGCAUUAUUAGCUAUUAUUCUUUUAAACUAUUAUUCACCUUUUAAAAUAAUCAUGAAAAUCUGAGGAUUAUGUUUAAUUUUCUUCAAGGACUAAAAUAGUCUUGCUCAAAUGGUGGACACGGCUGGUCCCUAUGGGCGCCAUUCAUCCUGUCACUGACAACGUUAACUUUUUUUUUUUUAAACAAACCUCAGGGUUAAAGUCAGCCAUUUUUCUCUGAGCUUUACUGUAGAGAAUAAACAGCCAGACUUUUCCAUUAGGAGCAGACUUCUCCCUCCAAGUGUCCUGUACACCACAAGAGACAGACUCUAAAUGACAUUUUAAUCUGAGGUGUGAAGGUAGACUCAUUUAGGACUAGCGAUGGAAAACACACAUAAUAAUUGCCUUGUGAUUUAAAAUGACUUCAGCAUUUUAAAAAGGUUUGUGGGAAACCUGGAUAAGGGAGUUUGCUAUAGUCUGCACCUGAGCAAACUCAAAUGUACUGGAAGAUUCGUCUUCGCUUUAGCCAGCUAUGUAGCGCAGAUGUGUAGCUGGCAGCAGUGAUGCAUUCCCCGUUACCUCCUGUUUAAGAUCAGCCUAUAAUGCAAGUCCUUAAAUUCACACCUCUAUUUUACUUUUACUUUAAUUGAAUAGACAAAUUGAUCAAGAUCUCCAAAGUUAGUCUUGUCUCUUUAAGGUCUGGUUAGUUUAGCAUCCGUGUGCUCUCUGUGGGAACUGCUAAUUAGCUGAUAAGCAAACAAGCUAGUGACUAGCCACUCAAUAUUACUAGCUACUCAAAGGUAUGUUCUCUUUUCUUGCACUUUUUUUCACUUUUUAUCUCAGCAUUAUCUGAAAAACAUUCUUGGAUGAUCAUUAAAUGUUAUAAUGAAUAUAUUGUAUACCUUCUACCCGUCGACCCCUUUAUCCUCUCUGUCUGGCUCCUGCUUUUCUCUGAACUGAAAGAGGCCCAUGUGGUGGGUUUUGAGGAAGAAGUAUGGUAAAUGUUUUCCCUGCUUUUUUUUUUUUUUGUGUGUGUGUGUGUGUGUGUUUUUUUUGGAAGAGGCCUCUUCAUAAAAUCGUGCAGCAUAUGUACAUGAACACUUUCAUCAGUGCUGCAGGUUCAGUUCUUGGGGCUGCAGGUUCAGGAGACAGAAAUAUAAAAUGGUCUUAGUGCUCUGUGCUCACAGAGGAAUCGUCUGAUGUCGGAGGAAGAUUGAUGGUGUGUAGGAGUGGUCCACUGCAGAGAGCUUCUGGCCAUAGCUCCUGAAGUCAUAAACUCUACUCUGAAUGCAAGCAAACAACAAGUGAGGACCAGAGAUUCCCUUCUUACUUCAUACUGAAAACACUAAUGUGACGUUUUGUAUAACUUGGAAAUAACUUUUAACUUUGACUCACCUCUCUUGAACACAAAUGUGCAUUUUGAAAAGUCUGUCCUUACAAUACUGUUAUUCUGUGUUUGCAGUGUUGGGUAGUAACGGAGUAAGUUUAAUCUGUUUACGGAAAACCAGGGGGUGUAAUUUGAUUAUGUCAUUCCUUUUAAUGGAUUACUUGAUUACAUUUUUGAGCUCUAUGAAUCACAGUCUAAAAGUUGACAGAUUUUGCACAUAAACCGAUGUCCGAAUUAACGCCAGCUCCAUGUGUGUAACACAGGGCUCACAGAGGCUGGAUAAGGAUCCAUUAGUGGUUAUCCAUAAGAGGUUAUUUAUUAACAAAAUUACAAUUCAAAAGAACAGUCCAAGUUGUUAUCAACGUUCACUUUGAAAGCAGGCAAUUCCAAAAUAAUAUCAAUAUUGUGCUCAAGAGCAAGGCGGGGUCAACAAUACCUAAAACCUAAAAAAAAAAAAAAAAGAAUUAAAAACCAAAGGGCAGUGAAAGGACAGGGUCAGGAUAAAGCAGGUGAAGAUCAUACGCAAAAUUGCUUUCCAACAAGCGCGGCUCAGAGCUUACUCACUUGCAAGCAAACGAUAAGACUUCACACUAAGUGUUUUAUGUCGGUUUAGCAGGAAAUUAGCUUUAUGUGUAGAUAACUGUAAUGUGAUCUACAUAAAAACACACAGUUCCCUGACAUUUACAUACAGUAUCUCCUCAUGUACAUUCUUCAUUAUAUACUGUAUACCUGAAUUUCUCGCUUUGUGAGUUUUGAUUCCAAAUUUGUGGUCUUUAGUGGAUCCAGUCAUCUUAGAUAAAUGUUCAUUGGGGAUGCGAUGGACCUGUUAGUCAAACAACCAAUAGAAACUUUCAACUGCUAAGUAAAAGGUAUGUAAGAUAUAUGUAUUUAUGUGUAACAUAAAUAAAAUGUCUAUGUUGGGCUCACAGUGGCUUGGUGGUGAGCACGUUCACCUCACACCUCCAGGGUCGGGGGUUCGAUUCCCACUGUGGCCCUGUGUGUGUGGAGUUUGCAUGUUCUCCCCGUGCUGCGGGGGUUUCCUCCGGGUACUCCGGUUGCCUUCCCCAGUCCAAAGACAUGCAUGGUAGGCUGAUUGGCAUGUCCAAAGGGUCCGUAGUGUAUGAAUGGGUGUGUGAAUGCGUAUGUGAUUGUGCCCUGCAAUGGAUUGGCACCCUGUCCAGGGUGUACCCCGCCUUGUGCCAAGUGCUCUCUGGGAUAGGCUCCAGGUUCCCCGUGACCCUGAAGGAAGGAUAAGUGGUGUAGAAGAUGGAUGGAUGGAAAAUGUCUAUAUUUAUGUUGACUGUGUAUGGCAACUGGGAUCAUAUGCAGUAUGUACUGUAUAAAGUUUGUAUAAUUUUUGAACAUAUUUCAUAAUGGGAAUUGGCAGAAUGGUUUUCAAGAUACAAACAAAUAAAUAAGUGUGUGUGAAUGUGUAUGCCUGGUACCCUAUGAUUGACUGGUGUCUCUUCUGGCGUGAAUUCUCCAGCCUCGUGGCCAGCGUUCCUGGGAUACAUUCUGGAUCCACCGUGAACCUAAUCAAGAUAAAGUGGUUACUGAAGAUGAAUGAAUAAAUAAAUAAAUAAUAAUAAUAAUAAUAAAAAAACCCUGAACAAAUGAAUGAAUUAUGGUUUGUUCAAACAAACAAAAAUAAAUUAAUAAAUUGGUGGAAUUGGUGGAACAGUUCCAUUACAUCUCCUAUUAACAUUUAUAAUUUAAAACAAAUAAAAUGUCUAUGUUUAUGCAUUACAUUUGAUCUUUUAACUUUGUAGCAAAUUUAUUUGGAAUGUUUAGGGGUAUUAAUAGGUAACUAAGACAAACCAAUCUGUGCUCAAAGUGAACCUUUAUGUAUGAUCAUACUGUAUAUGGCAACUGGGAUCAUAGGCAGUAUGUUUAAUGUUUGUAUAAUUUUUGAACAUGAUCUGGAAUCAUUUUUCAGGUUGAAUUGGUGGAAUAAUAAUAAAUUGUACAAAUCUGGUGUAUAACAGACUCCUAGCUCCUGAAACAUCUGAAACAAUGCGUGGGUGCUGUCCAUCUUUGGCUGUUAAAAGAUAAAUGUGAGAACAGUGGAGUUUGUGUUCUCCCUCCUGUUUAUUUUGCCUCUCAAGCAGAUUUGUGGUGAGUGAGUUCAUAUCUGUGGUAAUGUAAUGGGAAUGAUCUUUGUGAGAAUGCAGCUUUCAGUAUUUCUGUUGUCUUAUCAGUGUAAAUGUGUCGACAGAAGUGAGCUAAAGAUUAGUUAUAUUUCACGUUUAUCACUCCUUCUCAAAUCUCUGAACAGUGUUUGUCCUUUAGCUCGUAAUAAAUAAAGAGGCAGAAUUAGAUCAGAUCCCAGAACAAGAUUGAACACUUUGAUAUGUGUGACUGGAAAAUCUUUAAAUGUAAUAUAUUUCUAUUAAAUAUAUUAAAUAUAAAAAUAUUGCCUUUUUAAAGAUGUUUUUGAUUAGUAACUAUAUUCCACUUUUGACCUUAUUCUUGAUUCAAUAGACUAACGUCUCUACAGCAUCUGCCACUUAAACAGAUAUUGGUGGGUUAUUGUUCUCUUCUUCUAUGACAUUCAUGAUCAAUAAUCAUGAUGCUUAAAGUGUAAGCGUUUCCAUUGAAGCAGAAUUUGAAUGCUUGGGGAUCAGUUUCCCAAAUGCAUUGUCAAGUUAAAACCAUCUUAACUGGUAGAGAGAGUUUUCAGUGUCAUAUUUACUGUACUAUUUAACCAGGAUCUUUGUGCUGCAAAACAUUUGAGAAAAUCCUGAAUAAUUUAUACACAUUUAUCCUUUUACAUUUCUAUUAGCAUACUUCUCAAAAUUUCAUAACCUAAAGCAAACCCAAACCUAAAACAUUUUCAUUCAUCUUUAUACAUUUCUAUUUAGUAAGUACUUUAUACUGGUGGAUCCAGAGCCAAUCCUGAGAACACUGGGUGCAUGGAGGGAAUAUACCAUGAGUAUUCCCAGGGAGAGAUGGGCAAGUCCAUUUCAGGACACCAUGCACACACACAUUCAUACACUCGCUCACACUUACGGGAAUUUAGAGUCACAAAUCCACCUACCAGCAUGUUUUAUGCAGACACACAGAAAUCACCCAAAAGUCCACAAAGUCAGUAACCUGAGCUCAGGAUCAAACCUUGGAUCCUGGAGAUGUGAGGCAUUAAUGCUACCUGUUAUAUCACUGUGCUGCCCUGCAGUUUUUGGAAUUUCCUAAAAAUAAAAAGGUCACAAUUUCACCAAAUGUUUUCAUAGCCCGCCACAUACAGAGCCAUGAGAAAAACGUAGCAGCUUUUGUGGUUUCAUUUAUACCCCAAAAGCUGUGAGGGGUUUGUGCAGCUUGUUGUACUGGCCACUUUUAAUAAACAGCAACAAUCCCAAACCAGCAAUAACAAAGCAAGGAAACUGUUGUCAUUUUAUUUACUGAUGUUUUAGUGCUUCGGCAAGUUCAUAGAAGCGUUACUGCAGUACAAACUGCUGACUCCAGAAGAACUGCAUAUGUGGAGUGGAUGGAGUUUUGCUGAAACUGCUUCCCCUACUUUGCGGCUUGCGUAUCAAUACUCUUUUCCAAAUCCAGACAUUUUUUUCUUUCCUCCAUGGAUGGCCGAGAUCCCAGGUCUAAAAAUGGUUUCUUAGGAAACCAAGUAAAACAUUGCGGCUGGGGAAUAAAUUGCUUUGAAUCUUGGACUGUGAGACAGACUGUGGUGGUGGGGGAAACACAGAGAUAUGUAGAUCCAUCUGUGGACAAAGGAGAGGCGAUGGGACAAGAAAUUGAGUUGCAAUAUUAGAAACUAUGAAGCUGUGGUUGUGGUGCUGAUUUAAUUUCUGAAAUUGUGGUACUGUGAACAGUUAUUUAUAAAAAUAUAACCACAGUUAUUUCCUCUGUCCUGAAUUGACCUAUGUACAUAAGCACAGCGCUACUUCAUUUACUAUUAACUUAUAUUGUAUGUUCUGUACUGGGAUCAGUAUUACAUGUGAGCAGUUACUAAACUUAUUCUACUUUCAUCACUGAAAGUAUUUGGUUUGUUUUUCAGCAGUCAGAAGCUUAUGUGUGUCAGGCAUUUCCAUCAUUGACAUUGCAACAGCUUUUUUGUGUAUUUCUUUUGGUCCUGGGAUUUAAACCUUUGCUCACUGCCACAGAACCUUAACCACUGAGUGCGUCCUGUGACUCAUGUAGGUCUUAAGCCUCAUGGUCACCAAUGACAUGAGGCCAGUUGGGUGUUUUUGGCAAUUCAGUUCAAUUCAAUUGUAUUUGUGUACUGAUUGAUUUUAACAAUAGACAUUGUCACAACGCAGCUUUACAGAAAUCUAGAUGUAGAUUUAGAUCCAUAAUGAGCAUCCCAGAGGGGAUAGUGGCAAGCAAAAACUCUUUCAGAUGAUAUGAGGAAGAAACCUUGCGAAGAAACAGACUCAAAAGGGAACAUGGAUGACUCUGGAUAGUGGGAUUGUAAAGCGUUACUCUUAUACAACUGUAUACUGUAAAGUCACUGUGAAAGUUUUGAAAUGAUGUUCAGUAUGAAUAUAUUGUGAAUAAGAGUUAUGAGAUGAGCACAGGACAGUUUUUAUGAUUACAGCAGCAGUUCUGAGAUUAUCCAUUGAAGCAAGAGUGGGUAUUGAAUGAUGUGGUAAACUGUUUUUGGGAAGAGACUUGCUGGGAAGUUUUGGUAAUGAGACCUAUUUAUCUAGAGCCAUCCUGCAGUCAUACGCCACCCUAAAGUCUGGUAAAUUAUAUUGGAUCAUUUCCAAUAUAACCUGCAGCUGCUAGGCAGAAUAUGAAAGCUGAGACUCAGGUUCAGGCAGGAAGUCUGAUGUCAUUGUGCUUGCAAGAAUCUCCUGUAAGUCAUGCACACCCCAAGGACUGAUGAAUGAGGAUAAUGUAGCUUAAUGCCACUUUAUUACUUUUCUUUUAACACUCUGCACGUCAUGUGAGGUUUCAGAAUGGAAAACCUGACCACAGACUGGCACUGGAACCACAUGAAAGGGCUGGGUUUCAUCACAAGUCUUUUUCACCAAGUAUACUUUUUGGAGAAAUAUGAUUAUACAACAAUUUGUAAUCAUAUUUAAACACCUGGCUGUUAAAAAAAAAGUGCAUUUUAGCCCAAAGGUGCAAUGAGGGUGAAUGAGUGUGAAAGGUCUGUGCAAUCAUAUUUCAUCAGCUUUGGACCACAUGCAGCUUCCCCAGCAUGCUCUGACAUUCAAGUUGACGUUAUCCGUCUUUUUCCUUCCAUGUGGUGGAAACCCAGGCCUUUUCCAUGCUCAGUUUUUGAUGGUUGCUCUGGAAAGUUGGCCGCGCUGGAGCUCUGGCCUGCUCGGACUUUUCCAUGCACUCAAGCUUCUCAGAACCUGGAAUGCCAGAGCGUCGGCCUGGAGCUUGUCUCCCAUUUAUUUUUAGAAUGACUGCAUUGUGUCAGGCCCAAGUGGCCACAACCUUGCAAUUCUGUCUGCAGUAUAUGUUCAAUAAACUGUGAAGGGGCCUGAAUAUGCGAUAAGUCUGUCCUAGCUGUGGUGCUGAUGUGCCUGGACAUUUGUUCUCAUUAUCCAUUGCCAAGUAUUUGUUUAUUAACAAAAGCUGUCUGAAUUUGGAGUUUACCUCUACUUCUGGGUUUUAUUGAGCAUCUCUGUUCAGAUGGAAGGAUGCCUAACAUAAAAUAGCACAGCAUCAAAGAUGCCAAACAUCUGUGCUGUGUUGGGGUAUUUGGGUGCCUGUCUGUUCAUCUGUCUUUACUUUGCAUUAAAUAUUGCUCUUAGUCACACAAAAUGUGAAGUAAUUGCACACUGCCACAUUCAUGCAUGAAUAGUAGAGAUUGAUAUUGUCCCACUUUUAGAUGCUAAAAUACACAUCUCAAUGCAUAGUGUAUGGUACAAAAGUAUACAGUUAAUAAGUAUGUAAUGAAUCCAAAUGUAAUCAAUACAUUUCAAUUCACUCCUGAUCAGAUACAAUUCAGUUCAUCACUGAUUCAUUUCGAUUCAUACCCAAUCCAAUAUGACUCUUCUGUUAAAUUUCAGUUUUCCACCAUGGGAAAGUCGUCAGAACAGAGGACUUUGUGUUUUCCAGUUUCUUGGUAAUGUGACAAUCUGCAUUUUUUGUAUUAACGUCAAUAGAAAACAACACAGAGGCUGGUGAGGGAAUAAUGGUUUAUAGCUGCUAUAUCAUAAGUGAUAACAGGAACCUACUGUUCUGUGGAUAGUUCACAAGUUUAAAUGUAGCUAUAAACUGAUUUAAAAAGUACAACAUAUUCUUUGUUCCCACAACCCUGUCUAUAGGCAACAAGAACACUGAAACAACUGAAAUAAAUUUGAGAUCUCUCUAUUGCUCUCUCUAUUGCACUCUCACACACACACAUGCUUGAACCAGGGAGUGUGCAUAGAUUUUUAACCAUGUUCCUUUUUGAGUUUGGAUCUUGGAUGUGGCCGUAUCGUAGACUGUUGGACUGCUUUUCCUGUUCGAAUCAGUUUGUCUUUACACCCCAAAUGAAUGGUCUGUGCAGCUUUGUAUAUCUUUCAUGUGCUCAGUAGGACUUGUUUUGAUCACCUGUCUUACAUUGCAACCAAUAAGACAAGAGAAGAACUAUAUUCAAAAUCAAGGCUUUGAAGAAUAGAAUGGCAUUUCUCGGAAGAACGAUUUUGCCAAGUUACCAUAUAAGAACAAACUUGCAAAGACAUGAAGUCAGAGAACACUCCUUUAUGAGUUUAAGACAAGCAGCAUACUUGGCUUUUUGGCUUAAGUGCUAGCAGCUUCCACUUUCACAAGGUAUGACACAAGUUGCUAAAUAUGCUUAGAUGUUCAAUUAGAGCCAAGAGCUGAUACUUUGUGUGAAAACUUUGUGUUUUCUAGCUUAUAUAAUUCUGAAAUUAAAUAUAUCUUUUGCUUUUGCAGUUCAACAAAUAAAGUUCUAGCAUUUAAAAAUGUAGUUAGCCCAAAAAGUGAAAAAUCGAGAGAAAUUUAAAGACUCUAUAAAUCCACUGAAAUAUGUAUGGUAAAACAGCAUUACUGUUAAAUUCUAAAGAAUUAGAAGUGUACAAUAAUAAAUUCUGAUUAUUACUUUGACUGUCUUAUCACCUGAGGUAAAAGUCACUCACAUCCUUGGUUUGUUAUCCGACUGUGUCCACC
Molecule: long non-coding RNA, 8592 nt
Organism: Ictalurus punctatus (channel catfish)
Lineage: Eukaryota; Metazoa; Chordata; Actinopteri; Siluriformes; Ictaluridae
Source: Ensembl